CGGGGCGUAGCGCAGCCUGGUUAGCGCGUCGCGUUUGGGACGCGAAGGUCGCCGGUUCGAAUCCGGCCGCCCCGA
This 75-nucleotide transfer RNA is filed under the name Actinomycetes bacterium. RNAcentral's name for it is "Actinobacteria bacterium tRNA-Pro". It matches the Rfam family "tRNA". From Rfam's summary of the family: Transfer RNA (tRNA) molecules are approximately 80 nucleotides in length. Their secondary structure includes four short double-helical elements and three loops (D, anti-codon, and T loops). Further hydrogen bonds mediate the characteristic L-shaped molecular structure. tRNAs have two regions of fundamental functional importance: the anti-codon, which is responsible for specific mRNA codon recognition, and the 3' end, to which the tRNAs corresponding amino acid is attached (by aminoacyl-tRNA synthetases). tRNAs cope with the degeneracy of the genetic code in two manners: having more than one tRNA (with a specific anti-codon) for a particular amino acid; and 'wobble' base-pairing, i.e. permitting non-standard base-pairing at the 3rd anti-codon position. Lineage: Bacteria; Bacillati; Actinomycetota; Actinomycetes. RNAcentral also lists the same sequence under 2 other names. The record is from RNAcentral.